This is a non-coding RNA of Pelobates cultripes (western spadefoot toad), 228 nucleotides long. NCBI's taxonomy places the organism in Eukaryota, Metazoa, Chordata, Amphibia, Anura, Pelobatidae. The record is from the annotation of a GenBank genome assembly.
CUGUAAUAUUCACCACCUAUCUUAUUAUGUUUUACAUCACCUGUGAGUUGGCUCCAAGGCCCGUAGACACCACUUGCUUCCAAUUCAGAUUUUAACAAAAGGUGCAGCAUAUGUUACUCUAAUUUCCUUUUAGAGAGUUAACUUGGGUGCAAUCCAAUCCCUGCACUGAGCCAGCUCUGUGUAUUACACACUGUAGUCUACUUGUGGAGGGGAAUGCAAUUAUUGCAG